UGUGAACCUGCGGAAGGAUCAUUAUUGAAAUAAACUGAUGGGUUGUUGCUGGUUCUCUAGGGAGCAUGUGCACGCCUUGUCAUCUUUAUAUCUCCACCUGUGCACCUUUUGUAGACCUUCUAGGUCUAUGUUGCUUUUUCAUUUACCCCAAUGUAUGUUAAUAGAAUGUUGUGACUAUGAAAACUAUACAACUUUCAGCAACGGAUCUCUUGGCUCUCGCAUCGAUGAAGAACGCAGCGAAAUGCGAUAAGUAAUGUGAAUUGCAGAAUUCAGUGAAUCAUCGAAUCUUUGAACGCACCUUGCGCUCCUUGGUAUUCCGAGGAGCAUGCCUGUUUGAGUGUCAUUAAUAUAUAUCAACCUUCUCAUUGCUGAGUGGUUUGGAUGUGGGGGUUUGCUGGCCUCUUAAAUGAGUUCAGCUCUCCUGAAAUGCAUUAGCAGAACAACCCUGUUCAUUGGCGUGAUAACUAUCUACGCUAUUGAAUGUGAGGGACAGUUCAGCUUUCUAAUAGUCCUUGGACAACUCAUCAUUUAUGUGACCUCAAAUCAGGUAGGACUACCCGCUGAACUUAA
This 570-nucleotide ribosomal RNA is filed under the name Cortinarius alboviolaceus. RNAcentral describes it as "eukaryotic LSU rRNA". The stretch from base 190 to 343 matches the Rfam family "5.8S ribosomal RNA". The record is from RNAcentral. Lineage: Eukaryota; Fungi; Basidiomycota; Agaricomycetes; Agaricales; Cortinariaceae.